GCAUGCAUAAUACAUGCAAGUCGAACGAAAAAGGUCUUCGGGCCUUUUUAGUGGCAAACGGGCGAGUAACACAUAUUUAACUUGCUCAUCCGAGGAGAAUAGCAGCCCGAAAGGGCUAUUAAUACGCCAUAGUUUUAAAUUAGUGAAUUAAUUUAAAUUAAAGGAGGCUGCCGAAAGGUGGCCUCGCGGAUGAAUAGGAAUAUGUCCUAUUAGGUCGUUGGAGAGGUAAUGGCUCACCAAGCCGAUGAUGGGUAGCUGGACUGAGAGGUUGAACAGCCGCAAUGGGAUUGAGAAAUGGCCCAUAUUCCUACGGGAAGCAGCAGUGAGGAAUUUUUCACAAUGGACGAAAGUCUGAUGGAGCAAUACCACGUGAACGAUGAAGGUCUUCUGAUUGUAAAGUUCUUUUAUUUAGGAAAAAAAGCGCGGCAGGAAAUGGCCGCGCCUUGAUUGUACUAAUUGAAUAAGUGACAGCUAACUAUGUGCCAGCAGCUGCGGUAAAACAUAGGUCACGAGCAUUAUCCGGAUUUAUUGGGCGUAAAGGAAGCGUAGGCUGAAAUGUGUAUUCAUUGUUAAAAAUAUUUGCUUAACAAGUGUUCGCGGUGAAGAUUACAUUUCUAGAAUUAGUUAGAGGGUACUGGAAUUCAAUGUGUAGUGGUGGAAUACGUAGAUAUAUUGAGGAACACCAGAGGCUAAGGCGAGUGCCUGGAACAUAAUUGACGCUGAGGCUUGAAAGCGUGGGUAGCAAAUGGGAUUAGAUACCCCAGUAGUCCACGCCGUAAACGAUGGGUAUUAGUCAUUUGGAUUUAAGACUGAGUGAUGUAGCUAACGCGUUAAAUACCCCGCCUGGGUAGUAUAUAUGCAAAUAUGAAACUCAAAGAAAUUGACGGGGACCUGAACAAGUGGUG
This 905-nucleotide ribosomal RNA is filed under the name uncultured Mycoplasma sp. Its description in RNAcentral is "bacterial SSU rRNA". It matches the Rfam family "Bacterial small subunit ribosomal RNA", at positions 42 to 934 of the family's 1533-position model. Lineage: Bacteria; Bacillati; Mycoplasmatota; Mollicutes; Mycoplasmatales; Mycoplasmataceae. The record is from RNAcentral.